Molecule: ribosomal RNA, 492 nt
Filed under: uncultured bacterium
Lineage: Bacteria
Description: partial 16S ribosomal RNA
Rfam family: Bacterial small subunit ribosomal RNA
Source: RNAcentral
GGUGAACGCUGGCGGUAGGCCUAACACAUGCAAGUCGAGCGGCAUCACAGUAGUGGCUUGCUCGUACGCGUGGCCAGUGGCGGUGGUGUGUGGAAUGCAUCGGACUUGACUUUUUCAUGGGGGAUACCCUCGGGAAACUGGCGCUAUUACCCCUUAUGACCUACGGGUCAAGGCAUUCGGUCUUCAGGCCUUCCGCUAGUGGAUGGGCCUAUGUCGGAUUAGCUAGUUGGCGGGGUAACGGCCCACCAAGGCUACGAUGCGUAGCUGGUCUGAGAGGAUGAUCAGCCACACUGGAACUGAGACACGGUACAGACCACUCUGGGAGGCAGCAGUGGGGAAUAUUGGAUAAAGGGAGCAAGGUUGAUCCAGACAUACCACGUGGGGGAAGAAGGCCUUCGGGUUGUAAAGGUCAUCCGUUGGGAACGAAAAGCAGCAGGUUAAACGCGUGCUGUUCUGACGGUACCCAAAGAAUAAGCACCGGCUAACUCCGUG